UGAUGGUCAACACAUUCAAGCAUUUGAUUCUACCAAUUUAGGGGAUUUUCAUAAUCCUACUAAGGUAUUGCCUUCUAACUCAAAUACUUCUUCUUCUAUUUUAUUUAUUUCCCUAACUGAAUCACUGAAAAUUACUAUUCCAUCUACGCCUCCUUCUAACAUUAAUCCUAUUAACCAACCUUCCUUAACCCAAAGAUCUUCCAAUUCUGUAAUUAAUU
RNAcentral lists this long non-coding RNA (218 nucleotides) under Ricinus communis (castor bean). RNAcentral's name for it is "long non-coding RNA (RCOM_LNC002971)". Lineage: Eukaryota; Viridiplantae; Streptophyta; Magnoliopsida; Malpighiales; Euphorbiaceae. The record is from RNAcentral.